GCUUUCUUUUGAGAAUGCCCUGAAAGUUCCACCGAUUGUUACAGAGUCUGGUAUAACAUUAAACGCGCCACCACCUUUGAACUUUGCAACUGUAACAACCUGUGAAUCCAAGGGAUCAGUUUCCCGCGAAACAAGAUGUUGUAAACUAACUACGAUGUUAGAAGCUGCUAAUAUUGGAUCUAUAGUGUGCUGAGGAAUUGCGGCAUGACCGCCUUUCCCCUUUAUUACUGCCUCAAAGAAGCCACUUCCAGCCAUGAUAGGGCCAGAACUGGC
Molecule: unclassified non-coding RNA, 273 nt
Filed under: Hevea brasiliensis (rubber tree)
Lineage: Eukaryota; Viridiplantae; Streptophyta; Magnoliopsida; Malpighiales; Euphorbiaceae
Source: RNAcentral